GGCUACGGCUCAACCGUAGUAGGCUCGUGAAACUGGGAGACUUGAGGGCAGGAGAGGAGAGUGGAAUUCCUAGUGUAGCGGUGAAAUGCGUAGAUAUUAGGAGGAACACCAGUUGCGAAGGCGGCUCGCUGGACUGUAACUGACGCUGAGGCACGAAAGCGUGGGGAGCAAACAGGAUUAGAUACCCUGGUAGUCCACGCUGUAAACGAUGAGUACUAGGUGUCGGGGGUUACCCCC
Molecule: ribosomal RNA, 237 nt
Filed under: Clostridioides difficile
Lineage: Bacteria; Bacillati; Bacillota; Clostridia; Peptostreptococcales; Peptostreptococcaceae
Description: partial 16S ribosomal RNA
Rfam family: Bacterial small subunit ribosomal RNA
Source: RNAcentral